This is a long non-coding RNA of Episyrphus balteatus (marmalade hoverfly), 461 nucleotides long. RefSeq lists it as uncharacterized. The record is from RefSeq and is a predicted model, not a curated record. NCBI's taxonomy places the organism in Eukaryota, Metazoa, Arthropoda, Insecta, Diptera, Syrphidae. The transcript has 2 exons.
CAAACUUGGACGACAUGUGCAUGAUAAGUGAAGUGUGGAAACAAAUGGCAUUUUGAAAGUGGUAAUCGUUUCAGAGCAUCAUUUAGCUCCCCAAUUGGUUGCAGGACAUGUCUUCUACAAAUGGGUCUAAAGCCCCCAUCGAGAUCCCGAGAAAAUCUGCAUGAAUCUUCUUCGCAAUUGCUUUCCCCUCCUAAACAGUUAUGCAGAGGGAGGAAUUAAGGCAAAACACAUGGAUUCCCAACCCAACUUAACCAACCCUACAACUGGACAUCCGGGUCUGAACAACUCGAGUACAGCAGACUUUUUAAACUAAGUUUAUCCAUGUAUUAUAUUUGUUUAUAUUUUAUAACUUUGUCAUUAUUAUUUAACGUCAGACCCCCUUUGUGCCAUCAAAAUUUUAAAUGUAUCUUAGAAAUAAGUUAUUUAAUUAUUAAAUUGCAAAUUGCAAAAUUAAAACGUAA